Callithrix jacchus (white-tufted-ear marmoset) is the source of this 207-nucleotide non-coding RNA. The record is from RefSeq and is a predicted model, not a curated record. NCBI's taxonomy places the organism in Eukaryota, Metazoa, Chordata, Mammalia, Primates, Cebidae.
AUGCGAGAUUUUCCUUUGGCAGCAGGACGCACGCCCCCGGAGAAUGCUGGAGCUGCAAGGGGAAAGGACCCACUUCCACAGCAGAGAAAAACAAAGAGGAAAAAGACAUACAGGCAGCCAGCGCUAAGGGACGCACCCAGCAAGCAGUGGGCCAGUGCCACUGCCCCUAGCAGCCCUUUCUGCUGCAGCCCGAGAGGAGCUCGGUGA